CCGCGGUAAUACGAAGGGUGCAAGCGUUAAUCGGAAUUACUGGGCGUAAAGCGCGCGUAGGUGGUUCAGUAAGUUGAAUGUGAAAUCCCCGGGCUCAACCUGGGAACUGCAUCCAAAACUGCUGAACUAGAGUACGGUAGAGGGUAGUGGAAUUUCCUGUGUAGCGGUGAAAUGCGUAGAUAUAGGGAAGGAACACCAGUGGCGAAGGCGACUACC
RNAcentral lists this ribosomal RNA (216 nucleotides) under Pseudomonas guineae. RNAcentral describes it as "partial 16S ribosomal RNA". It matches the Rfam family "Bacterial small subunit ribosomal RNA", at positions 515 to 729 of the family's 1533-position model. The record is from RNAcentral. Lineage: Bacteria; Pseudomonadati; Pseudomonadota; Gammaproteobacteria; Pseudomonadales; Pseudomonadaceae.